This 460-nucleotide ribosomal RNA is filed under the name uncultured bacterium. RNAcentral's name for it is "partial 16S ribosomal RNA". It matches the Rfam family "Bacterial small subunit ribosomal RNA", at positions 338 to 795 of the family's 1533-position model. The record is from RNAcentral.
CCUACGGGAGGCAGCAGUGAGGAAUAUUGGUCAAUGGGCGAGAGCCUGAACCAGCCAAGUCGCGUGAAGGAUGAAGGAUCUAUGGUUUGUAAACUUCUUUUAUAUGGGAAUAAAGUGAGGAACGUGUUCCUUUUUGUAUGUACCAUAUGAAUAAGCAUCGGCUAACUCCGUGCCAGCAGCCGCGGUAAUACGGAGGAUGCGAGCGUUAUCCGGAUUUAUUGGGUUUAAAGGGUGCGUAGGUGGUUAAUUAAGUCAGCGGUGAAAGUUUGUGGCUCAACCAUAAAAUUGCCGUUGAAACUGGUUGACUUGAGUAUAUUUGAGGUAGGCGGAAUGCGUGGUGUAGCGGUGAAAUGUAUAGAUAUCACGCAGAACUCCGAUCGCGAAGGCAGCCUACCGGCGCGCAACUGACGCUCAUGCACGAAAGCGUGGGUAUCGAACAGGAUUAGAUACCCUAGUAGUC